GAUGAACGCUGGCGGUCUGCUUAACACAUGCAAGUCGAACGAACUCUUCGGAGUGAGUGGCGGACGGGUGAGUAACGCGUGAGAAUUUACCUUUAGGAGGGGGAUAACAACGAGAAAUUGUUGCUAAUACCCCAUAUGCUUUCGAGUGAAAUGGAUUUUUCCGCCUAGAGAGAAGCUUGCGCCUGAUUAGCUUGUUGGUAAGGUAAUGGCUUACCAAGGCGACGAUCAGUAUCUGGUUUGAGAGGAUGAUCAGACACACUGGAACUGAGACACGGUCCAGACUCCUACGGGAGGCAGCAGUGGGAAUUUUCCGCAAUGGGCGAAAGCCUGACGGAGCAAGACCGCGUGGGGGAGGAAGGUUUUUGGAUCGUAAACCCUUUGUCAAGGAAGAAGCUCCGACGGUACUUGACGAAUAAGCCUCGGCUAACUCCGUGCCAGCCGCCGCGGUAAUU
This 452-nucleotide ribosomal RNA is filed under the name uncultured bacterium. Its description in RNAcentral is "bacterial SSU rRNA". It matches the Rfam family "Bacterial small subunit ribosomal RNA", at positions 28 to 525 of the family's 1533-position model. The record is from RNAcentral.